AUACGUAGGGGGCGAGCGUUAAUCGGAAUUACUGGGCGUAAAGCGCGCGCAGGCGGUUUUUUAAGACAGAUGUGAAAUCCCCGGGCUCAACCCGGGAACUGCCUUUGAAACUGGAAGGCUAGAGUGGGGCAGAGGGGGGUGGGAUUCCACGUGUAGCAGUGAAAUGCGUAGAGAUGUGGAGGAAUACCGAUGGCGAAGGCAGCCCCCUGGGCCAAUACUGACGCUCAUGCACGAAAGCGUGGGGAGCAAACAGGAUUAGAUACCCUGGUAGUCCACGCCCUAAACGAUGUCAACUAGGUGUUGGAAGGGUUAAACCUUUUAGUGCCGUAGCUAACGCGUGAAGUUGACCGCCUGGGGAGUACGGCCGCAAGGCUAAAACUCAAAUGAAUUGGCGGGG
This 397-nucleotide ribosomal RNA is filed under the name uncultured bacterium. RNAcentral's name for it is "partial 16S ribosomal RNA". It matches the Rfam family "Bacterial small subunit ribosomal RNA", at positions 523 to 918 of the family's 1533-position model. The record is from RNAcentral.